UAAAAUUGUAAUUGGCAAGUCCAAUUGAAAUCAUUGACAAGUUUCAAAUCUAAUCAGUAAGAAAUGAAUAUAUACAACACAACUCAAAAUCUGAAAAAGAGUACUUUCAAAUCCAAUUGUGGUUUCUAAUGAAUUAAGAAGAAAAAAACAUACCCCUUCAAUCUUCUUUGCUAUCUAUUCUUUAUUUAUGCUUUUCCUCUUCGGUUUUACUCCUAUUUCGUUUUGUUAGCAUCGUUUUAUUUUUUCGUUUUGAACAAUUUUGUUAGCAACUUUGCUAACAAUAAAAUAUUAAACAUAUUAAGUCAAGUAAAUUAAUAAACUAGGAAUUUGAAUUAACAGUCUGACAGAUAUUAUUGGUGCAUUGUUGGUGGUGCGAUAGGAUACGCAACAGGCACAGCAUAAGGAGGAUGAGGAUGAUGGUGGUGGCCACCAGGCGGAAGCAUGACGGGUGUCCCUACUGCCGAAGGCAUGUGGCCGGGGACUGCCGCCACAGGGUGCCCCAUUGGUGCACCGUACAUACCCAUUCCGGGGAUGUGGGUCUGACCGUUACGGUGCUUGACAGGUGGCGCCCCAAUGGAUGGUACAGAUGGCGAGUUGGUAUUGGGGUGUUGUACUCCAGUGAUUGGAGCCUGGUGAGGUGGAACUUCCCCAUUGGCGACGCUCGUGAUGUCAUGGAUACUGGAUCUCCUCCUAUCUCUAUUCACUGAAUUCAGCCGAAUAAAGUACUUUUGGGCAUGGCUGGCCACUUGGGUUGGUGUCCUUGAAAUUACAAAAUUCCUUGAAAUGCUUCUCCAGUCCCCUUUCCCAAACUUAUCGAGACCCAAUAGAAAUAACCUGAAAUAAAUAUGUAAAUCUCAAACUC
Cannabis sativa is the source of this 862-nucleotide long non-coding RNA. RefSeq lists it as uncharacterized. The record is from RefSeq and is a predicted model, not a curated record. NCBI's taxonomy places the organism in Eukaryota, Viridiplantae, Streptophyta, Magnoliopsida, Rosales, Cannabaceae. The transcript has 2 exons.